This 76-nucleotide transfer RNA is filed under the name Paenibacillus allorhizosphaerae. RNAcentral describes it as "Paenibacillus sp. JJ-447 tRNA-His". It matches the Rfam family "tRNA". From Rfam's summary of the family: Transfer RNA (tRNA) molecules are approximately 80 nucleotides in length. Their secondary structure includes four short double-helical elements and three loops (D, anti-codon, and T loops). The record is from RNAcentral. Lineage: Bacteria; Bacillati; Bacillota; Bacilli; Caryophanales; Paenibacillaceae. RNAcentral also lists the same sequence under 3 other names.
GCGGUCGUGGCGAAGUGGUUAACGCAUCGGUUUGUGGAUCCGACAUUCGAGGGUUCAAUUCCCUUCGACCGCCCCA